GUGUACUGCACCUACACCAGAUUAUAAAAGGGCAAGGUACCGUUGAUGGGAAGAUGGGGAAGCGCCGGCCAGACGUUGCACAUUUCUGAUGCCCUUGUCAGUGAGAUGGAUAGAGGGUAAUUUUUGCACCCCCCCCCCCCAGUUACGAUCUGUCUUUGAAACGACAUGUGCAACCGACGAGUACCCGAAGAUUGCUGCAGAAUCACUCCCGGCGGGAAGUGUCGCAGCGUGCAGAAAUCGACACCGAUUUUACCAUUUCUGCUCCAUUCAUACAGAGCAGGACGAGUGGGGCUCAAAAGCGGGGACGUGGAGCUAGGGAAACGGUACGCAUUAAUAAGCGAUUUUCGUUUCGUUGAUCCGAGCUCCAGCUAGAUUUUUGGCUAAAUGCGACGAUGCUCAUCUUUCUGCCCUAUCUGGAGUUUUGUUUAUAAAUAGUACCGCCAGGAGGAAGGAGGAGCCCAGCAACAAAGAUACACCCAGCGGCACAUUAGUAGGAUGCAUAUGUGGGGCUUGCUAGUGGGGGGGGGAGGUUCGCAGAUCCACAGCAGUGGCAUUCCCGUUUCGACCUCUGCAUCAUUGAUGGCUCCCUCCCCUCCCCUGUUCUUGCACCACUCUCGCCAUCGCCUACUCCUUCGUUUUCCAAGUCCUGCACUUCCUUCGCCUCCCUCGUCUUAUCAUUCCAAACAUCUCGCUGCCUCUGGCUGUCGAUUUCACAAUUGCUUCGACCCUUCGAUGCAUUGCGCCGCGAGAUUGUGGACCCUGGGGUUGCCGAAAGUUUACGCGAGCCUGUCCACACCUUCAUUUGCCGCUCUCCAACCACUGGAUGGAUGGGUGGAUGGAUAGAUGUGGUUCUGAAUGAAUGAUGUAUAUGUUCGAUGUAUGUUGAUGAAUUAUUGCGUCAAUGGAUUACUUUCGUGGGUUGUAGAUGGAUGGAUGGGUUUAGGGGAGGGUUGACGGAUAGAAUAUGAGAUGGAUAACUUGAUCGCGGGAUGGACGAUUUUAAAUUUUUAUCAUUAUAAUUAAUACUUUUUACUAUUAUAAUAAAUUUAUAAACCAAUCUACACUUUUUAUUGUUAUUAACCUUUAAGUGUAUGUAU
This is a non-coding RNA of Physcomitrium patens, 1097 nucleotides long. NCBI's taxonomy places the organism in Eukaryota, Viridiplantae, Streptophyta, Bryopsida, Funariales, Funariaceae. The record is from RefSeq and is a predicted model, not a curated record.